RNAcentral lists this ribosomal RNA (377 nucleotides) under uncultured eukaryote. Its description in RNAcentral is "partial 18S ribosomal RNA". It matches the Rfam family "Eukaryotic small subunit ribosomal RNA", at positions 592 to 976 of the family's 1831-position model. The record is from RNAcentral.
CAAUAGCGUAUAUUAAAGUUGUUGCAGUUAAAAAGCUCGUAGUUGGAUUUCGGGGUGGCCUGGCUGGUCCGCCGCAAGGUGAGUACUGGUCAGCCGCCCUUCCUCUCGAAAGCCCCGACUGCUCUUUACUGCAGUGGUCGGGUAGUUCGGGACGUUCACUUUGAAAAAAUUAGAGUGUUCAAGGCAGGCUAUCGCCUGAAUACAUUAGCAUGGAAUAAUGGAAGAGGACCUCGGUCCUAUUUUGUUGGUUUCUAGGGCCGAAGUAAUGAUUAAGAGGGACAGUUGGGGGCAUUCGUAUUUAAUUGUCAGAGGUGAAAUUCUUGGAUUUAUGAAAGACGAACUAGUGCGAAAGCAUUUGCCAAGGAUGUUUUCAUUAA